ACGGCGGACGGGUGAGUAACGCGUGGGUAACUACCCCGUACCACACGAUAACAUACCGAAAGGUAAUGCUAAUACGGGAUAAUAUAUUUGAGAGGCAUCUCUUGAAUAUCAAAGGUGAGCCAGUACAGGAUGGACCCGCGUCUGAUUAGCUAGUUGGUAAGGUAACGGCUUACCAAGGCGACGAUCAGUAGCCGACCUGAGAGGGUGAUCGGCCACAUUGGGACUGAGACACGGCCCAA
RNAcentral lists this ribosomal RNA (239 nucleotides) under uncultured bacterium. RNAcentral's name for it is "partial 16S ribosomal RNA". It matches the Rfam family "Bacterial small subunit ribosomal RNA", at positions 95 to 334 of the family's 1533-position model. The record is from RNAcentral.